Molecule: long non-coding RNA, 584 nt
Filed under: Crocodylus porosus (Australian saltwater crocodile)
Lineage: Eukaryota; Metazoa; Chordata; Crocodylia; Crocodylidae
Description: lncRNA (ENSCPRG00005016427.1)
Source: RNAcentral
AGAAGGCAUCCUGCAGAGAAGUAACAGCUACUUUAUUGGGUGAAAUAUUAAAGGUAGAAGGUUUUGUUAUUGAUUGAUAAAUACACUGGAGAUUUCACAACAUUUGACUUUCCCCUGCUCAGUAUCGACUUUCAUUUUCUUGUUAUGAUAACAGGUCAGCUUUUCACUGAAAUGGAAAAUUAUCUUCUGAUGGUGUUGGCAAAGGCAAGAUUGACAGGAAGACAAAUUAGGCAAUGGGCAUGAACCAUAAAUAUUGUUACAGGCUUAUUUCAACUAAUUUCAGAGCGCAGUCCUACCUCCUGCAGAGAAUAUACUCGGGAUUAUCUACCCUGAAAUGAAAGUGUGUUGACCUGGGGAAGACAUUUUACUAAAUAACAGCAGUUGUUAUUUGAAGGGACCUGCAUGUUGUUAGACACAGAAGAGAAGCAAUUUGAACACGGGGAAAGCGUGUUCUCUCUUCAAUCUGCACUGGUUGAAGCAAUCACGAAUAUACUCCAGACUUCAUUGCAGUGGUAUCCAAAAUGUGCUGUCAUUAGAAGUUAAGCUGUGCUUUCCCAUUUAAAUAAAAUAUAACCUGCAUUUCA